This is a small nuclear RNA of Sinocyclocheilus anshuiensis, 134 nucleotides long. Its record names the gene U1. It matches the Rfam family "U1 spliceosomal RNA". From Rfam's summary of the family: U1 is a small nuclear RNA (snRNA) component of the spliceosome (involved in pre-mRNA splicing). Its 5' end forms complementary base pairs with the 5' splice junction, thus defining the 5' donor site of an intron. The record is from Ensembl. Lineage: Eukaryota; Metazoa; Chordata; Actinopteri; Cypriniformes; Cyprinidae.
AUACUUACCUGGCAGGGGAGACACCAUGAUCAAGAAGGUGGUUCACCCAGGGUCCUUAAUGUUUGUUCUGGUUUAGAGUAUUAAACAGAACAACAAUGUCGGCCUCUUUGGUGCGAAGGAAUACAGUCCCUUUU